UGCCACAUAUAUCAGAAGCCCAUAUCGAAGGAUAUUUUCAAUACAGACAAGCAGUUGACAGGCAAAUGAUGGGCAAUACAAAGGCGAUUGUGAAAGGAAAAUUGCUCUUGGAGUCGGAGAGAGUUAAAGCACUGAGUAUUAACUGUCAACAUGAGGACUUUUUUCUUACAGGAUUUGUCCGAGCAGCAAUGAAGAAAAAGGCUCCCCCAUAAAAGCAGAAGACAUGCCUUGUCGGUACAACCCAGAUCUUAGUGACCCAAGGCGUCAGAAAUACAGAGGAAUUGCUGGAUACAACGAUUAUGU
Molecule: long non-coding RNA, 303 nt
Organism: Saccostrea echinata
Lineage: Eukaryota; Metazoa; Mollusca; Bivalvia; Ostreida; Ostreidae
Exons: 3
Source: RefSeq, a predicted model, not a curated record